UACGUAGGGUGCAAGCGUUGUCCGGAAUUAUUGGGCGUAAAGAGCUCGUAGGCGGUCUGUCGCGUCGGUUGUGAAAACACGGGGCUCAACUCCGUGCCUGCAAUCGAUACGGGCAGACUAGAGUUCGGUAGGGGAGACUGGAAUUCCUGGUGUAGCGGUGAAAUGCGCAGAUAUCAGGAGGAACACCGGUGGCGAAGGCGGGUCUCUGGGCCGAAACUGACGCUGAGGAGCGAAAGCGUGGGGAGCGAACAGG
Molecule: ribosomal RNA, 253 nt
Filed under: uncultured bacterium
Lineage: Bacteria
Description: partial 16S ribosomal RNA
Rfam family: Bacterial small subunit ribosomal RNA
Source: RNAcentral